GAUGAACGCUGGCGGCGUGCCUAAUACAUGCAAGUCGAGCGAACGGACGAGAAGCUUGCUUCUCUGAUGUUAGCGGCGGACGGGUGAGUAACACGUGGAUAACCUACCUAUAAGACUGGGAUAACUUCGGGAAACCGUAGCUAAUACCGGAUAAUAUUUUGAACCGCAUGGUUCAAAAGUGAAAGACGGUCUUGCUGUCACUUAUAGAUGGAUCCGCGCUGCAUUAGCUAGUUGGUAAGGUAAAGGCUUACGAAGGCAACGAUGCAUAGCCGACCGGAGAGGGUGAUCGGCCACACUGGAACUGAGACACGGUCCAGACGCCUACGGGAGGCAGCAGUAGGGAAUCUUCCGCAAUGGGCGAAAGCAUGACGGAGCAACGCCGCGUGAGUGAUGAAGGUCUUCGGAUCGUAAAACUCUGUUAUUAGUGAAGAACAUAUGUGUAAGUAACUGUGCACAUCUUGACGGUACCUAAUCAGAAAGCCACGGCUAACUACGUG
RNAcentral lists this ribosomal RNA (497 nucleotides) under uncultured bacterium. Its description in RNAcentral is "partial 16S ribosomal RNA". It matches the Rfam family "Bacterial small subunit ribosomal RNA", at positions 28 to 507 of the family's 1533-position model. The record is from RNAcentral.